UGGGGAAUAUUGGACAAUGGGCGAAAGCCUGAUCCAGCCAUGCCGCGUGUGUGAAGAAGGUCUUCGGAUUGUAAAGCACUUUAAGUUGGGAGGAAGGGCAGUAAGCGAAUACCUUGCUGUUUUGACGUUACCGACAGAAUAAGCACCGGCUAACUCUGUGCCAGCAGCCGCGGUAAUACAGAGGGUGCAAGCGUUAAUCGGAAUUACUGGGCGUAAAGCGCGCGUAGGUGGUUCGUUAAGUUGAAUGUGAAAGCCCCGGGCUCAACCUGGGAACUGCAUCCAAAACUGGCGAGCUAGUGUAGGGCAGAGGCUGGUGGAAUUUCCUGUGUAGCCGUGAAAUGCGUAGAUAUAGGAAGGAACACCAGUGGCGAAGGCGACCACCUGGGCUCAUCCUGACACUGAGGUGCGAAAGCGUGGGGAGCAAACAGG
This 429-nucleotide ribosomal RNA is filed under the name Pseudomonadota bacterium. RNAcentral's name for it is "Proteobacteria bacterium partial 16S ribosomal RNA". It matches the Rfam family "Bacterial small subunit ribosomal RNA", at positions 355 to 776 of the family's 1533-position model. The record is from RNAcentral. Lineage: Bacteria; Pseudomonadati; Pseudomonadota.